Non-coding RNA from Arachis ipaensis, 872 nucleotides. The record is from RefSeq and is a predicted model, not a curated record. NCBI's taxonomy places the organism in Eukaryota, Viridiplantae, Streptophyta, Magnoliopsida, Fabales, Fabaceae.
UAUUCAUUUACUAGCUACUUUAUGUACUCUUUUAGUAGUACCGUGAUCCAUUGACCAUUACAUCAUUAUGCAAGUGUUGAAGCUUUGGCAGAACAACUUCACUGGUUCAAUUCCUUCAAGGCUUGGAUAGAAUGGUAAAUUAAUUGAACUUGAUCUUUCAACAAACAAGCUCACAGGACUAGUUCCAAAGUCUCUUUGUUUUGGUAAGAAGCUCAAGAUUCUGAUUUUGCUCAACAACUUUCUCUUUGGAUCUUUGCCUAAUGAUCUUGGUGAAUGCUACACUCUUGAGAGAGUUAGAUUGAGACAGAACUACUUAACAGGUUCAAUACCAAAUAGAUUUCUCUAUUUGCCUCAACGAUCUCUUUUGGAACUUCAGAACAAUUAUCUGAGUGGUUUUCUUCCAAGAAGCACUGAUGCACCUUCAUCAAAUCUAGGACAGUUGAAUCUUUCCAAUAAUCGUUUAUCCGAGACCCUGCCGGCUUCAAUCGAAAAGUUUCCUGAUUUGGAAAUCCUUCUUAUUUAUGGAAACAGAUUCUCAGGUGAAAUUCCACCAAAUAUAGGCAAGUUAAAGAGUGUUCUCAAGAUGGAUUUGAGUGUUAACAACUUUUCAGGACUUCAAUGAAGAUGGGAUGCUUUUACUGUCUAAAUUUUUUUUAUCUAAUCAAUGCUUUUGGCAAUCAAUUAGCAACCAGCAAGGAUGCACUUUAGAGGGUAGAGUAAAGGAUAAAGGAUCCACAAAGGACAGCCAAACAACUAGCCAAUGAGGCAUUGAACAGAGACAGCCACUGAGGCAUUGAACAGAGACAGUAAAGAUGUUUUGAAUGCAGAGUUUAUGUUUUGAAUUAUAAUUGAUGUAUCAAUACACUUUGUUG